Molecule: ribosomal RNA, 440 nt
Filed under: uncultured bacterium
Lineage: Bacteria
Description: partial 16S ribosomal RNA
Rfam family: Bacterial small subunit ribosomal RNA
Source: RNAcentral
CCUACGGGAGGCAGCAGUGGGGGAUAUUGCACAAUGGGGGAAACCCUGAUGCAGCGACGCCGCGUGUGGGAAGACGGUCUUCUGGAUUGUAAACCACUGUCCCCAGGGACGAAAAUGACGGUACCUGGGGAGGAAGCUCCGGCUAACUACGUGCCAGCAGCCGCGGUAAUACGUAGGGAGCAAGCGUUGUCCGGAUUUACUGGGUGUAAAGGGAGCGUAGGCGGGGAUGCAAGUUGGGUGUCAAAACUACCGGCUCAACCGAGAGUCGCACUCAAAACUGCAGCUCUUGAGUGAAGUAGAGGCAGGCGGAAUGCGUGGUGUAGCGGUGAAAUGCGUAGAUAUUAGGAGGAACACCAGUGGCGAAGGCGGCCUGCUGGGCUUUUACUGACGCUGAGGCUCGAAAGUGUGGGGAGCAAACAGGAUUAGAUACCCGAGUAGUC